UAUCUUGUAUUUUAAAAUAAAAUUUCUUAUUGCAAGUAAGAAGAAGCUUUUUUAGCCAAGAUUU
This 64-nucleotide transfer RNA is filed under the name Ricinus sp. ADS-2020. RNAcentral describes it as "tRNA-Cys". The record is from RNAcentral. Lineage: Eukaryota; Metazoa; Arthropoda; Insecta; Psocodea; Ricinidae.